GGUGUAGGUGGCUUUGUAAGUCAGGUGUGAAAGCCCAGGGCUCAACCCUGGAAGUGCAUUUGAUACUGCGAAGCUUGAGUGCUGGAGAGGCUAUUAGAAUUCCUGGUGUAGUGGUGAAAUACGUAGAUAUCAGGAGGAAUACCGGUGGCGAAGGCGGAUGGCUGGCCAGACACUGACACUCAGACCCGAAAGUGUGGGGAUCAAACA
This 207-nucleotide ribosomal RNA is filed under the name uncultured delta proteobacterium. Its description in RNAcentral is "partial 16S ribosomal RNA". It matches the Rfam family "Bacterial small subunit ribosomal RNA", at positions 568 to 774 of the family's 1533-position model. The record is from RNAcentral. Lineage: Bacteria; Deltaproteobacteria.